Molecule: ribosomal RNA, 493 nt
Filed under: uncultured bacterium
Lineage: Bacteria
Description: bacterial SSU rRNA
Rfam family: Bacterial small subunit ribosomal RNA
Source: RNAcentral
GAUGAACGCUAGCUACAGGCUUAACACAUGCAAGUCGAGGGGAAACGACAUCGAAAGCUUGCUUUUGAUGGGCGUCGACCGGCGCACGGGUGAGUAACGCGUAUCCAACCUGCCCACCACUUGGGGAUAACCUUGCGAAAGUAAGACUAAUACCCAAUGAUAUCCCACGAAGGCAUCCGAAUGGGAUUAAAGAUUUAUCGGUGAUGGAUGGGGAUGCGUCUGAUUAGCUUGUUGGCGGGGUAACGGCCCACCAAGGCAACGAUCAGUAGGGGUUCUGAGAGGAAGGUCCCCCACAUUGGAACUGAGACACGGUCCAAACUCCUACGGGAGGCAGCAGUGAGGAAUAUUGGUCAAUGGGCGAGAGCCUGAACCAGCCAAGUAGCGUGCAGGACGACGGGCCCUAUGGGUUGUAAACUGCUUUUAUAAGGGAAUAAAGUGGGUCACGUGUGACUUUUUGCAUGUACCUUAUGAAUAAGGACCGGCUAAUUCCGUG